AAAUGCAUUACAGGGCAAGAUCUCUAUUGGCAGGAAACCAUUACUUUGAUCUUUGCAUGUCUUUUAUGCAUUGCUUUGUACGUAGUGAGUUCUCUGCCAAAGGAGAUUUGCCCGGUAAUUCUUCU
RNAcentral lists this microRNA precursor (125 nucleotides) under Capsella rubella. RNAcentral's name for it is "mir-399 microRNA precursor family". It matches the Rfam family "mir-399 microRNA precursor family". From Rfam's summary of the family: mir-399 was identified in both Arabidopsis thaliana and Oryza sativa computationally and was later experimentally verified. mir-399 is thought to target mRNAs coding for a phosphatase transporter. The record is from Rfam by way of RNAcentral. Lineage: Eukaryota; Viridiplantae; Streptophyta; Magnoliopsida; Brassicales; Brassicaceae.